GGGAAUGUCCGCAUGUCUUUGUGUGUGUGUGUGUGUGCAAAAUGUGGAGAAGCUUAUGUGAUCACUCGCUCGGUCGCUCUCUGGGGCACAUAUUGUUAUAUACGCGUAUUUGUAACGAGCAAUAAGAAGCAGAAAGAAAAGAAGGUGAAAAAAGCAGAACAAGAGACACAAAAAAAAAACGGGACGACGAACGUCUCGGGACAGACAGACAGACAAUAAGAGAGAGAGAGAGUCCAGAGCUCAGCUCGAACAAACAAACGAGUGAGUUAAGAGCGAGAGAGAGAACUAUUCGCUCAUUUGCAAAAACAAAAAUCAACGAUACUCACUCACACGCACACACUCGCGCUUGCACACACAAGUAUGCAGAGACUGAGAGAGAGAAAGAGUAAGCAAGCGAGCGAGAGAAAGAGCAAUGAAGACCGACCGAAAAGAAAAGUACAAUAAAAAUUAAUCCGAUUGACAGCCAGCUAGCCGCCGCUGCUUCUCUGCCUCUGCCAGCCUUUUGAUAAAUAUUUUCAGCGACUUCCGCGCGCGCGCCCAACCAAAAACAACAGCGAAACCAAACUACACCACAACUACAACAACUACUAUUCUGUAGUUGCCUCUGCUGCCCAUUGCUACUAUUGCUGCUGCGCCGCGUUGCGUCGCAUCUGCUGCUGUUGUUGCUGCUGCUUCUCUUCUUCCAUCACAGAGAGGAGAGCAGAGCAGCGACAACAACCGAGGGCAGCGACAGCAACGCAGCCAACCGGCGUCUUUGUCAUUUCCAUUUCGCGAGCAGUUUGCCUCGCCAACAACACAACAAACACACACACACACACAUACAGUGGGCGCCAUUUGACCAAAAUUAAGAAAUUAAAUGGUGGAAUAUGAAAAGAAAUGGAAUUGAACUAUGAAAAUACACUCUCUAAAUACCGUGUAACAAAAUA
This is a long non-coding RNA of Drosophila willistoni, 926 nucleotides long. RefSeq lists it as uncharacterized. Lineage: Eukaryota; Metazoa; Arthropoda; Insecta; Diptera; Drosophilidae. The transcript has 2 exons. The record is from RefSeq and is a predicted model, not a curated record.